GAGUUUGAUCGUGGCUCAGGACGAACGCUGGCGGCGUGCCUAACACAUGCAAGUUGAGCGGAGAUAUGGAGAGCUUGCUCUUUAUAUUUAGCAGCGAACGGGUGAGUAACACGUAGAUAAUUUGUCCUAUAGUUGGGGGAGUAGGCCGAUAGUAAAAUUAGGUAUUAAUACCGCAUACAGCUAUUUAACCGCAGUGGGGAGAUAGUAGGAAAGGGGAAACGUUGAUAUAGGAGGAGUCUGCGGCACAUUAGCUAGUAGGUGAGGUAAGAGCUUACCUAGGCGACGAUGUGUAGCCGGUCUGAGAGGAUGAA
Molecule: ribosomal RNA, 311 nt
Filed under: uncultured bacterium
Lineage: Bacteria
Description: bacterial SSU rRNA
Rfam family: Bacterial small subunit ribosomal RNA
Source: RNAcentral